This 479-nucleotide ribosomal RNA is filed under the name uncultured bacterium. RNAcentral describes it as "bacterial SSU rRNA". It matches the Rfam family "Bacterial small subunit ribosomal RNA", at positions 29 to 524 of the family's 1533-position model. The record is from RNAcentral.
AAUGAACGUUGGCGGCGUGGAUUAGGCAUGCAAGUCGAGCGAGAAGGUUGAGAUUGAUCCUUCGGGUGACGUCUUAACUGGACAGCGGCGAAAGGGAGAGUAACGCGUAGUUCACCUACCCAGGGGUUCGGAAUAGCGCGGGAAACUGCCGGUAAUGCCGAAUAACGUCUCCGGACCAAAGCUCCGGCGCCCUUGGACGGGACUGCGUGCCAUUAGCUUGUUGGUGGGGUAAUGGCCUACCAAGGCUGAGAUGGCUAGUGGGCGUGAGAGCGUGGCCCACCUCACUGGGACUGAGACACUGCCCAGACACCUACGGUGGCUGCAGUCGAGAAUCUUCGGCAAUGGACGCAAGUCUGACCGAGCGACGCCGCGUGCGGGAUGAAGGCCUUCGGGUUGUAAACCGCUGUCAGAGGGGAGGAAAUUUUUUGACCGAUCCUCAAAGGAAGCCGGGCUAAGUUCGUGCCAGCAGCCGCGGUAAU